RNAcentral lists this transfer RNA (62 nucleotides) under Fukomys damarensis (Damara mole-rat). It matches the Rfam family "tRNA", at positions 5 to 66 of the family's 71-position model. Rfam says of the family: Transfer RNA (tRNA) molecules are approximately 80 nucleotides in length. Their secondary structure includes four short double-helical elements and three loops (D, anti-codon, and T loops). Lineage: Eukaryota; Metazoa; Chordata; Mammalia; Rodentia; Bathyergidae. The record is from Rfam by way of RNAcentral.
GUGCAGCUCAGUGGUGGAGCAUGUGCUUAACAUGCACAAGUCCUGGGUUCAAUUCCCAGCAC